This 357-nucleotide unclassified non-coding RNA is filed under the name soil metagenome. Its description in RNAcentral is "partial contains 5.8S ribosomal RNA, internal transcribed spacer 2, and large subunit ribosomal RNA". The stretch from base 1 to 120 matches the Rfam family "5.8S ribosomal RNA", at positions 35 to 154 of the family's 154-position model. The record is from RNAcentral.
GAUGAAGAACGCAGCGAAAUGCGAUAAGUAAUGUGAAUUGCAGAAUUCAGUGAAUCAUCGAAUCUUUGAACGCACAUUGCGCCCGCUGGUAUUCCGGCGGGCAUGCCUGUUCGAGCGUCAUUUCAACCCUCAAGCUCUCCGGAGUUUGGUGUUGGGGCGCCUGGGGCUUUUCGACCUCAGGGCCCUCAAGUCCAUCGGCGGGACCGCCAGGACACUGAGCGCAGUAGUAUUAUUUCGCUCGGUAGGAUCUUCCACGGCGGGUCGAUCUGGCCGCUAAACCCCCCAAUUCUCACCAAAGGUUGACCUCGGAUCAGGUAGGAAUACCCGCUGAACUUAAGCAUAACAAUAAGCGGAGGA